GACCAGCUGACAUGUCAGUGAUUCUCUUGUUAACACAGGUGUGAGUGUUGACAAGGCUGGAGAUCACUCUGUCAUGCUGAUUGAGUUGGAAUAACAGACUGGAAUCUUCAAAAGGAGGGUGGUGCUUGAAAUCAUUGUUCUUCCUCUGUCAAUCAUGGUUACCUGCAAAGAAACACAUGCCGUUGUCAUUGCUUUGCACAAAAAGGGCUUCACAGGCAAGGAUAUUGCUGCCAGUAAGAUUGCACCUAAAUCAACCAUUUAUUGGAUCAUCAAGAACUUCAAGGAGAGUUGUUCAAUUAUUGUGAAGAAGGCUUCAGGGCACCCAAGAAAGUCCAGCAAGCGCCAGGACCGUCUCCUAAAGUUGAUUCAGCUGCGGGAUCGGGCCACCACCUGUACAGACCUUGCUCAGGAAUGGCAGCAGGCAGGUGUGAGUGCAUCUGCACGCACAGUGAGGCGAAGACAUUUGGAGGUUGGCCUGGUGUCAAGAAGGGCAGCAAAGAAGCCACUUCUCUCCAGGAAAAAUCAUCAGGGACAGACUGAUAUUCUGCAAAAGGUACAGGGAUUGGACUGCUGAGGACUGGGGUAAAGUCAUUUUCUCUGCUGAAUUUCCUUUCCGAUUGUUUGGGGCAUCCGGAAAAAAGAUUGUCUGGAGAAGACAAGGUGAGUGCUACCAUCAGUCCUGUGUCAUGCCAGCAGUAAAGCAUCCUGAGAUCAUUCAUGUGUGGGGUUGCUUCUCAGUCAAGGGAGUGGGCUCACUCACAAUUUUGCCUAAGAACACAGCCAUGAAUAAAGAAUGGUGCCAACACAUCCUCCGAGAGCAACUUCUCCCAACCAUCCAGGAACAGUUUGGUGACUAACAAUGCUUUUUCCAGCAUGAUGGAGCACCUUGCCAUAAGGCAAAUGUAAUAACUAAGUGGCUCGGGGAACAAAACAUUGAUAUUUUGGGUUCAUGGCCAGGAAGCUCCCCAUACCUUAAUCCCGUUGAGAACUUGUGGUCAAUCCUCAAGAGGCGGGUGGACAAACACAAACCCACAAAUUCUGACAAACUCCAAGCUUUGAUAAUGCAAGAAUGGGCUUCCGUCAGUCAGGAUGUGGCCCUGAAGUUAAUUGACAGCAUGACAGGGCGGGUUGCAGAGGUCUUGAAAAAGAAGGGUCAACACUGCAAAUAUUUUCUAUUUGCAUCAACUUCAUGUCAUUGUCAAUAAAAGCCUUUGACACUUCUGAAAUGCUUGUAAUUAUACUUCAGUAUUCCAUAGUAACAUCUGACAAAAAUAUCUAAAGACACCGAAGCAGCAAACUUUCUGAAAAUUAAUAAUUGUCAUUCUCAAAACUUUUGGCCACGACUAUACAGUAUGAUGAGGAAUAGACCCAUCAAUCUGUUACUGGCUACAUCGGGGUUGUUUUCUUGACUGAUAAACAUGCAGUUGUGAAAUGGAGAACUUAUGUUGGAGGAAAUAUAUAUUUUAUUCAGCACAUAUGGAAGUGGUUCACUAUGUGGGUGCUAAAACAGACUGAUUCACUUCUCACCAGGUUCAUCUUCAUUAGGGCACAUCGUACCAAAACGUUUUGCAAAAGAAAAUUUAAACAUGCCGUUAUUGGACGGGUCCAAGUCGUAUUUCCCAGUUUCAUUCCGUUUGGUGCCUAAUGAACAUGACCCAGGUUUUCAUAGGGAGUUUCCUUUUUAUAAAAUCGGUCCCGUUCUUGUAAUACCUUAAGCUUUUAAGCAUUGUGCUUGUUCGACAUUGCAACUGCCAACUAACUGGUCUACAAAUGACCUGCAAUGCUGAACCAACCCAUUGUGUGACUGCUGAUUUGUUUAUUUCCCUCUCCUAUGAGAUUUCUGUUUUUCUUUAACUCUGGUGCUCAUUGACGCAAUUAUGUAUUAACUAGGGCCCAGCUGACAUUCAAAUCUAUAUCUUUUAACCUGAUUUAAUUUGCCUUACUUGUAAUAUGUAUGGAGAAGGCUAUACCUAUAGUGCACCAAAUAACAACCCUUAGUAGUCGUAAAGAACCAUAUUUUCUAUUUCUGAACGCACCUAAACCAAUGAACGUCUUCUGCACAGAGAGCUCAGAGGCUACUCUCCACUUUAACUCAGACUCUGCACGUUAAUUCCCCUCACAUGAGAGAAGGGGGUCUGAAUUUGGGUGUCAACCUCAUUGGCUAGUUCCUUCAGCCCACUAAUCGUGUUGCUCCGUGUAAUUCUCCCCAUGGCCCCAGAGAUGAGCGCUAACACCGUGACAUAGCCAGGCACGGCUUAUUGCUGGCUGAUGAGAAUCAUAAAUCUAAGCACAUCUUCAGUAGUGUGUGUCACAGGAUGGACAAGGUGUGUGCGUGUCUGGUUGCAUGUGUACCAGUGUCUUGACAGUGUUUUGUUGUGUACAUAGUGUGUCUCUCUCUUUAGGGGGGUGGUAAUGUCUGCUCAAAGUGGGUCAUGGUUUUAUUAGGCUCCUUUGCAGUGAUGUGCAGACAGGACUCACUACCUGAGGAAGAAACCAACAUGUAUGGCUGACAAGGGGAUUAGGGAGAAGUUGCCCCUAGAUACUCUUCUUGGGUCAGUUUUGGGCUCACUUUUCCUGACCAAUCUCAAUCUGUGAGGAAAGGUUUCAAAGUUUUACUGUCUUGUCCUGAAGUUCAGUAAGUGGGCAGUCUCUAACCUGUUGUUUAUUUACCACUUCUUUCCUCAUAAAACAUGCACACACAUUCUAGUGCCAUUUCCCCCUAGUCUAGAUAGUUUUUUGUUUUUUUUCCCCCAUUGCGGUCCAUGAGUCCCCUGCUUACUGGUUUCAGUAGCUCACCAGUCAUUGCCAUCUCACACAUCAAACUAGUAAGAGCCCGUUUGACUCCAAACAUCUUAAUUGAGGAUGGUCAAUUAUGGAUUGAAAGAUCAAGGGCCAGUGUUGAUCAGUCCUGUCUUGCAGAUGUGAGCUAGCAGCCAUCGUGAAGUUAUGUCACCAUCCCUGAGACCUGAAGCAACAGCUCUUCCUUUGCCCAACCAAGACUAAUUUUGUCCGCUACUGGUAUGAAGUGUUGCUGGCGUGGGAUUGAAUUCUGCCUCAACUGUCGGUCAUAACUGGUAGUUCUAGCAGUGGGAUGAUCAGUCCUAGAAGCCCUUCGCCAUCUAUCAGGAGACACUACAGCUUUCCUCCAUUGUUGCCCUCUCUUAUUUCUGCUCUCUGCUUUAAUGAAACAAUCUAUCCAACCCUCCUGUAGCACACUGUGUGUUGGUGCUUGCGCAUGCGUGCAUUCUAACUUUAUCAGAUAAUAGAGCUGUCAGCUCCACUGUCACACUGCAGGCGUACAGCAGGGCAAGAAUGGUGUGGCCACUCUGCCCUGGGAGCAUUAGUAUCUGUCUGCAUCAGGCACACAUCACUGAACCCAGGCACAGACAAACAUUUGGAGGUGGGGGGCGCUAUGGGCGGAUUAGAUAUUUUGGGAAAUGGCUAAUAUGGCCUGCUGGAUGCUGCUGUUGCAAUUCCACACGGUGGCCAUUUUGGUGCAAUGUUUCAUCAGCUGAUAAGGGGCCCAUACAAAUGUGUCGUCUGCUCCUGGUGGGGGAGCUGGAUGAGGUUCAUAUCACUUGGUGAUGAUGCCUGGAGGGGUGUGUCUGUCUGAAUGUGGGUCUGUCAGUCUCUUGCUCUGUCUGCUUGCCUAUGUGUGAGAGCCCGAAACACACACAACCACUGAUUUGUCAACCCGACCGUCUGCGCUCAUGAGGUUAUUCGCGGCUAGCAUUAAUUUGUGAUGUUAUCCUCUACUCAUCAGCCACCCUGCUAAAUAUGUUACUAGCUGCCCUGUCAGGGUUGGUGACUCACUGCACAUCAGGUCCCUAUACCUCUGUGUUUGUGUGUUAAGAGUAGAGCAAGACACACCCAUUCUCUAUCAAACCUGUCCCUUCUACCCCACCCCAGAAUGGAUACUGGCCCAAAUAAUUUUCAAUGGCCACUUUUAUAUUUUUAGCUCACUGUUACCCAUGGAAGUUUGGAGUGGAGAUAACUUGCUCACCUCAUGCUUACGGCACUUGAGCCACUGUACCAGCUGGGGAUCUGUAAAAUUCACUCUGCUUGAAGGGUCUCCACUUGCGCUGCUGAAUAGCUAGUUUUCUGUGGCACGACUGGGUAACAUGCCAAAGGUACUACGUUCGAGCCUUGGUAUGAGCUGAAUCAGGAGGAAGGAUUACUCGCUAAGCAAGCAGCUUGAAGUCCUUUACACCACCAGCAGGAGUAGUAUCACCAGUGAUUGAAAUCCGAUGACACAUUUUUGUAAUUUAGGAUUUUCUUAAAUAGUUUUGAGCAUGUGUGGCCUCCAAGGUCAUUAACCCUUUAAAAUAAUUUACUAAAGCAAUUAAUAAUUUUGCCAUGAAUGUAAUUUCCCUUCAUUUAAAUGAAGUAACACCAUUGACACUUUUUAGACAUUUUAUCAAUGGAAUCCUUACAUUUGACAUACUAAAAGUGUGUGAUCAGCUAAUGAUUUCCUUUUAAUAUAGACCCCUUCUCUGAUAAGUUUGCCAAUGGAGGGAAGGUUCAAGAUCCUAGUAUAUAUUUGAAAUGAGUGAUUUUUAAGGCAUUAACUCCAAUGACACAACAUAGGGACUCAUAGAUUUGUUAAAAAGUGAUUGAAUGGAAUCUUAAGCACUUACAAACUUGUAACAUUGUACAAAUUGGAGUUUGUAUCAUCGAACGAAUUGCAUAUUACUUUUUUUUUUUUUAGGACAUACCAUCUCAUACAAAAUGGAUGACGUUCACAACUGUACACAAAUUUCAGAGAAUUUUGCAGUCCAUCCAACCGGCCUCAUCACUGCAGACCACGACCUCCACAUCCGGCUUCUUCACCUGCAGGAUUGGCUGAGACCAGCCACCCGGACAGCUAAUGAAACUGAGUGUUUGUCUGUAAUAAAGCCUUUUUGUGAUUGGCUGGG
Long non-coding RNA from Oncorhynchus nerka (sockeye salmon), 4916 nucleotides. RefSeq lists it as uncharacterized. The transcript has 2 exons. The record is from RefSeq and is a predicted model, not a curated record. Lineage: Eukaryota; Metazoa; Chordata; Actinopteri; Salmoniformes; Salmonidae.